CUUAAUUAUAACUCAGGCUCAUCUGAGGUUCAACUUCAGUACACCAAUGCCUUUGUCUUAAUGAAAUAUAAUUCACAAGCUACCUUACCUCAAAACUCGAAAUUUACAGACUUCUUUUAAGUUCCACACAGCAGAAAAAAGAAAAUCUUGACACAACCAGGAAAUGCCACACUUAAUAGCUAAAGUUUUCUACAAGCAAAAAGGAUAAAGUAGGCCCAGGUGAAAUAACUUUUACACAAACAGGAAAUGCCAAAGACAUAAUAGGCUAUGUGUGUGUCCACAGUUCUCUGCGAGCAAGCAAGAUAAUUUACGCUUAGGUGAGACGAACUUCCCCUAAGCUUUGGUGUGCUUGUUUCACUUGUUUGUCAUAUUCGUCUUCUUCUUCUUCGUCGUCAUCCUCCUCCUCCACUUCUUCUUCUACAUCUCCUUCCUUCUCCUCCUCUUCUUCUUCACCUCCCCAGCCAAAACCUGAGACUGAACGGGAAACUGGAGGAGGAGUCUUUGCCUCUUCCACAAUUUUCAUAAUCUCCUCCACACUCUGAAGUGAAAAUGUUGGGUUUUCUUUUCUAUAAUAAGCCGCCUGUGCUGCUUCUGUCAACUCCCUAGGCAAAUUCUUCAAGAACCAUGGGUGCGACUUGAUUUCUUUGAUUGUGAUUCUCCUUGCAGAAUUGGCAACAAAUAUGCGAGAGAGAAGGUGCCUACAAUCUUGUGAUAUGUGAACAUAGUCAGGAAUCUUGUACUGUACCGCCAUUAUUCGUUGAAUGGUUUUCCUAAAGUUCUUUGGAUCCUCCUGGUCUUCAAAAGGGUAUGCCCCAACCAGCAUCACAUAAAGUGUCACUCCACAUGACCAAACAUCAGCCAGCUUGCCAUCAUAUUCCCUUCUGGAGAGAACCUCUGGAGCAAUAUAAGCUGGAGUCCCAACAGUUGAUUUUGGCCUUGAAUGCAACAGGGAUGACUUUGAGUAUCCAAAAUCACAUAUCUUCAAGCGUGGAGCUGCACUUCCAUCAAGAAGGGUAUUCUCCAGCUUCAGAUCUCUAUGACAUAUUUGCAUGUUGUGACAGUAGUGGACACCUGAAAUAAGCUGCUGGAAAAAGUAUCUGGCCUCAUCUUCACUGAACCUUCCUGCAUUGCAAAUGCGCUCAAACAGUUCUCCACCAGCUGCAUAUUCCAUAACAAUGGCAAGAUGAGUGGGAGUCAAUACCACCUCCUUGAAGCGAAUUAUGUUUGGAUGCCGAAGUGAUUUAUGAUUAAUGAUUUCCCUUGCUACAUUCUCAUCAAUCUUGUGUCCUCUCUCAAUGUAUUUCAUUGCC
Molecule: unclassified non-coding RNA, 1310 nt
Filed under: Hevea brasiliensis (rubber tree)
Lineage: Eukaryota; Viridiplantae; Streptophyta; Magnoliopsida; Malpighiales; Euphorbiaceae
Source: RNAcentral